RNAcentral lists this ribosomal RNA (490 nucleotides) under uncultured bacterium. RNAcentral describes it as "partial 16S ribosomal RNA". It matches the Rfam family "Bacterial small subunit ribosomal RNA", at positions 30 to 507 of the family's 1533-position model. The record is from RNAcentral.
AUUGAACGCUGGCGGCAGGCCUAACACAUGCAAGUCGAACGGUAACAGGAAACAGCUUGCUGUUUCGCUGACGAGUGGCGGACGGGUGAGUAAUGUCUGGGAAACUGCCUGAUGGAGGGGGAUAACUACUGGAAACGGUAGCUAAUACCGCAUAACGUCGCAAGACCAAAGAGGGGGACCUUCGGGCCUCUUGCCAUCGGAUGUGCCCAGAUGGGAUUAGCUAGUAGGUGGGGUAACGGCUCACCUAGGCGACGAUCCCUAGCUGGUCUGAGAGGAUGACCAGCCACACUGGAACUGAGACACGGUCCAGACUCCUACGGGAGGCAGCAGUGGGGAAUAUUGCACAAUGGGCGCAAGCCUGAUGCAGCCAUGCCGAGUGUAUGAAGAAGGCCUUCGGGUUGUAAAGUACUUUCAGCGGGGAUGAAGGGAGUAAAGUUAAUACCUUUGCUCAUUGACGUUACCCGCAGAAGAAGCACCGGCUAACUCCGUG